GUGGCUGUGGUGAAGCGGCUAACACGGCGGAUUGUGGCUCCGUUAUUCGUGGGUUCAAGUCCCACCAGUCACCCCA
Molecule: transfer RNA, 76 nt
Filed under: Acidobacteriota bacterium
Lineage: Bacteria; Pseudomonadati; Acidobacteriota
Description: Acidobacteria bacterium (hot springs metagenome) tRNA-His
Rfam family: tRNA
About the family: Transfer RNA (tRNA) molecules are approximately 80 nucleotides in length. Their secondary structure includes four short double-helical elements and three loops (D, anti-codon, and T loops).
Source: RNAcentral